Molecule: unclassified non-coding RNA, 350 nt
Filed under: soil metagenome
Description: partial contains 5.8S ribosomal RNA, internal transcribed spacer 2, and large subunit ribosomal RNA
Rfam family: 5.8S ribosomal RNA (bases 1-120)
Source: RNAcentral
GAUGAAGAACGUAGCGAAAUGCGAUAAGUAAUGUGAAUUGCAGAAUUCAGUGAAUCAUCGAAUCUUUGAACGCACAUUGCGCCCGCCAGUAUUCUGGCGGGCAUGCCUGUUCGAGCGUCAUUUCAACCCUCAAGCCCAGCUUGGUGUUGGGGAUCGGCACAGGCGCCCUCGGGCGCCCGCCGUCCCCUAAAUCUAGUGGCGGUCCCGCUGCAGCCUCCUCUGCGUAGUAGUUUUCUCCUCGCAAGGGCAGCUCGAUGGCGACCUCGCCGUAAAACCCCCAACUUCUGAAAGGUUGACCUCGAAUCAGGUAGGAAUACCCGCUGAACUUAAGCAUAUCAAUAAGCGGAGGA